UGCAGUCGAGGGGUAAGGAAGCUUGCUUCCUAGAGACCGGCGCACGGGUGCGUAACGCGUAUGCAAUCUACCUUGUACAGGGGGAUAGCCCAGAGAAAUUUGGAUUAAUACCCCAUAGUAUUAUUGAAUGGCAUCAUUUAAUUAUUAAAGUUCCAACGGUACAAGAUGAGCAUGCGUCCUAUUAGCUAGUUGGUGUGGUAACGGCACACCAAGGCUACGAUAGGUAGGGGUCCUGAGAGGGAGAUCCCCCACACUGGUACUGAGACACGGACCAGACUCCUACGGGAGGCAGCAGUGAGGAAUAUUGGACAAUGGGCGCAAGCCUGAUCCAGCCAUGCCGCGUGCAGGAAGAAGCAUCUAUGGUGUGUAAACUGCUUUUGUACGGGAAGAAACACUGCUACGUGUAGCAGCUUGACGGUACCGUAAGAAUAAGGAUCGGCUAACUCCGUGCCAGCAGCCGCGGUAAUACGGAGGAUCCAAGCGUUAUCCGGAAUCAUUGGGUUUAAAGGGUCCGUAGGCGGUCUAAUAAGUCAGUGGUGAAAGCCCAUCGCUCAACGAUGGAACGGCCAUUGAUACUGUUAGACUUGAAUUAUUGGGAAGUAACUAGAAUAUGUAGUGUAGCGGUGAAAUGCUUAGAUAUUACAUGGAAUACCAAUUGCGAAGGCAGGUUACUAUCAAUAUAUUGACGCUGAUGGACGAAAGCGUGGGGAGCGAACAGGAUUAGAUACCCUGGUAGUCCACGCCGUAAACGAUGGAUACUAGCUGUUCGGAGCAAUCUGAGUGGCUAAGCGAAAGUGAUAAGUAUCCCACCUGGGGAGUAC
RNAcentral lists this ribosomal RNA (821 nucleotides) under uncultured bacterium. RNAcentral's name for it is "bacterial SSU rRNA". It matches the Rfam family "Bacterial small subunit ribosomal RNA", at positions 56 to 883 of the family's 1533-position model. The record is from RNAcentral.